AGCCUUGUGGACGAACAGACAAGUCGUUGUGCCUCUCAAGCACUAAGAAGCGGGUGCAACUCCCGUCAAGGCUU
Molecule: non-coding RNA, 74 nt
Organism: Tolypothrix bouteillei VB521301
Lineage: Bacteria; Bacillati; Cyanobacteriota; Cyanophyceae; Nostocales; Tolypothrichaceae
Source: Rfam